RNAcentral lists this long non-coding RNA (271 nucleotides) under Salvia miltiorrhiza (redroot sage). RNAcentral's name for it is "long non-coding RNA (SMIL_LNC012494)". Lineage: Eukaryota; Viridiplantae; Streptophyta; Magnoliopsida; Lamiales; Lamiaceae. The record is from RNAcentral.
CGCAAACGGCGACCAAAUCCGAGUCCGGACGAGGGAGAACGGAGCAAAACAAGCGGACUGCGCAAGGAGCCCAGGGCCCCGCGGUCACCACCCGCGGCCGCGGGCAUGACCGCGGCUUCCUGGGCGUUUUCAUACAGAUUUCACCCGCGGUCCGGGCCGCGGCCGCGGGCCCGACCGCGGGCCUCUCCAAAAGCUCCCCCACGGUCCUACGCCGCGGUCACGGCCGUGACCGCGGGAGAAACACGGAAUUGAUGGUUUUGGUGGGGCCCAG